Venturia canescens is the source of this 965-nucleotide long non-coding RNA. RefSeq lists it as uncharacterized. NCBI's taxonomy places the organism in Eukaryota, Metazoa, Arthropoda, Insecta, Hymenoptera, Ichneumonidae. The transcript has 2 exons. The record is from RefSeq and is a predicted model, not a curated record.
GAAAUUUUUUAUGUUUUUAGCAUGGUUUAGCAUGGCAACAUUGUAUCGCCUGUACCGAAACUCCUUAAUCUUACUGUCCAUACAUUCAUAUACCGUCGUAUAUUUCAGUUGUCAGCUUUCGCGAGGUGAGUGAAACGCAAGGGAAGGAAACUGACGCAGUUGGUAUUGAGGAGCAAAAAGAUACUGGGGAAAGCGAGGGAUAGAAUAAUUAUGAGUAACGCAUCUCCCUCGAGAACAACGGGGAUCCGAUAAAUAAAACAGCCAAUGGACACGCAUCGCCUCAAAUCAUGUAAUUCUUUUUCGCAACAGUAACUGAUCUUGUCUACAUAUGUAUGGAGAAAUGAUCGACGUCCAGAAAAGGUCCCCUAAUGGCGGGACGUUACGAGGGUUCAACUCCGAAGAUAAGAAUGAAGAAAUUUAUCUUCUAUUCUUUUCGGUACGGCACAUUAGUACAUAUCAUUGAUCAAUUCACCGAAGCUUCUGGUGCACGGAGAUAGUUAAAUUUGAAAAAUAACCGUCCAGUAACGAUAGUGUAGUGACGAGCUGCAAUUCGUGAUAGAAGUAUGGGAAAGAAAUUAAAUUUUCCUAUAAAAAAAAUAAUGUUCAUUUUUCACAGUCGAAACUUUAACCGGAGUAUUUAGCAAAUGCGUUGACGUCACGAUGAUUUUCACGACGCUGCACUGUACAAAUUUCCGUACGAAUGUUUAUGCUACGAUGCGGCGAUACGGGGAUACUCAGCCCUUGUUGAAGUGUGUAAAUCAUCAUUUCAGUGUGUUAAGAAAUUCGGAAACGAGUGAUCGAUAUACCUACGUUAGAGCAAAGACCGUGAUGCAACGUAAAAUUCACUAGAACUUUUGCAAAUUUUAGUAUACGUAAUGUAAAUUUAACUAUCUGCAACUACUAUAAAACUGAAAAUUCCGUAAAAUCUUGAAACUUUACAGUGCGUUACUGGAAUAAAUAUUUUU